GAAAUGCGAUAAUUAAUGUGAAUUGCAGAAUUCAGUGAAUCAUCGAGUCUUUGAACGCACAUUGCGCCCCCUGGUAUUCCGGGGGGUAUGCCUGUCCGAGCGUCAUUGCUGCCCUCAAGCACGGCUUGUGUGUUGGGCUUCCGUCCCUGGCAACGGGGACGGGCCCAAAAGGCAGUGGCGGCACCAUGUCUGGUCCUCGAGCGUAUGGGGCUUUGUCACCCGCUCCCGUAGGUCCAGCUGGCAGCUAGCCUCGCAACCAAUCUUUUUAACCAGGUUGACCUCGGAUCAGGUAGGGAUACCCGCUGAACUUAAGC
Molecule: unclassified non-coding RNA, 314 nt
Filed under: plant metagenome
Description: partial contains 5.8S ribosomal RNA, internal transcribed spacer 2, and large subunit ribosomal RNA
Rfam family: 5.8S ribosomal RNA (bases 1-105)
Source: RNAcentral